GUGAUUCUAAGCACAUUAAAAUCCGGAUGACACUUAUCUGAAUCAUUUCGCAACUUGGAGAGAGAUGGAGAAGAGCUGCAUGGUGUAACUGGGCGUCACCAGAAUGUGCACUGCCAUCUGUGGCUGUCUUCCUCCUGGCAAAUCCUUUUCAUUCCAAGCAAAUAAGAUUCCCUAAAUUAGACAAAAAGGAAAAAACACAACAGAGUCCAUAAUUCUGAGAGGAAGAGAAGAGUGAUCGUCAGUGGCAAAAGGCAAUUGCAGAGAAGCACCACCAAGAGCCAGCUUCAUGCUCAGGAGUGAAUGCUGAGCUGUUUCCUCAUGGUUUCUGGUGCUCCACAUGUUCAGAGAAACUUCUCUGGUAAGAAACUAUAGAAAUGGUGCAUGGAAGUGUUACUAGAAAGGGUUCCUGAUCCAGACCCCAAGAGAGGGUUCUUGGAUCUCACGCAAGAUCCAAAAAUUUAGGGGUGCAUCCAUAGAGUAAAGUGAAAGCAAGUUUA
Molecule: long non-coding RNA, 497 nt
Organism: Pan troglodytes (chimpanzee)
Lineage: Eukaryota; Metazoa; Chordata; Mammalia; Primates; Hominidae
Exons: 3
Source: RefSeq, a predicted model, not a curated record